Molecule: ribosomal RNA, 113 nt
Filed under: Oryzias javanicus (javanese ricefish)
Lineage: Eukaryota; Metazoa; Chordata; Actinopteri; Beloniformes; Adrianichthyidae
Source: RNAcentral
GUUUACGGCCACACCACCUGACACGCCGAUCUCGUCGAUCUCGAAGCUAAGCAGGGCGGGCCUGGUUAGUACUUGGAUGGGAGACCGCCUGGGAAUACCAGGUGCUGUAAGUU